GGAGAGAGGGGAGGGAAUCAGGAAAAUACCUUUUGAGAUCCACCCUUUCAGAGUGUCUUUCAGAACCCUGUGGGCCGGGAGUGGAGAGGUGGUGGUAGUCAGUUCUUCAGGGUAUGUGCAUGUGAUGUACCAUCCACUCAAUCAGUGACUUCCUAUGUAACCCCCUUUGACAACAUCUUUGAACUGCUUUACUUCCAUCAUUAAUGAUCUUCUUUCUGUCUGACUUCUUUAAAGUCAUUUUAAGAUUAUAUUUAAUAAAUAUCUUGUUCUUCUCUUGUC
Molecule: long non-coding RNA, 279 nt
Organism: Oncorhynchus gorbuscha (pink salmon)
Lineage: Eukaryota; Metazoa; Chordata; Actinopteri; Salmoniformes; Salmonidae
Exons: 2
Source: RefSeq, a predicted model, not a curated record